GAGAGUUCAGAAGCAUACUUUCUCACGAUUAGAAAUGGAAAAUCCGUUUUUAUUUAGGGCUGCCUUCCUGAAAACUUGAAUCACCUUUGUGAAAAGGUCCUUGGAAAGAAGUGACAUGAUCAGAAGAUGUAGAAUCUUUGUGGCUGUAGUUAAGAAACUGCAAGGGUAAACAACCCUGAUGGGAGUUAUGUACAGGCCUUUGAACAGUAGCCAGAAUGUGGGCAUAAAUCACAAUGGGAGAUAAAAAAGGCAGUAUGACCAAGUUAUGACAGGAAAACUGGAAGCAACACAGCAGAAUUUUGAAACCUGAUGUGCCGAGGGUACACAGUGGGUCACCUUUACUCUUACACCAGCAGGGAUGGGUGAACCAAUGAUUGGCCAAACAGAAUUGCUUGCCUAAAGGAAGUCAUCCAUCGACAGGAGCACCUGAUCCUAAAAGCAGCAAGAAACUGUUGACCAUCUGCUCACCACUCUCAAUCAACUCUCUGGCUAAAUACAGCAACACCAGUCAACCUCUUCCCUCAAAGCCCUGGGUUCCGGUGCUCGAACACUUCGACGAACCCCAACCCGAUGCCACAACUUCCUAUCACAGUGUGUCUUACACUUUGAGCUCCAGCCUUCUUGAUAUUCUAUGGACCAAGCCAAGAUUGCUUUCAUCAUCUCUCUCCUGGCCCACCGUUAACUGGGACUCCAAUGGGCGCACUCCUCACCCCUUUCCAGCCAUCCAAGCACACAAUGGAUUCUGGAUUUUCUGCUACACCGGUUCUGGUAAUUCACCAUGAUCAGAGAUGUAUGUUAGUUUAUCUUUGCCUGCCCUCAAUGUGCCCCUAGCAGUCCCCCAAUGCCCGUGGUCCCACAUCGCUAUGGAUUUCAUCACAGGUUUGCCAUCUUCCGAUGGGGCCACGGUGAUCAUGACAGUGGCGGACCAAUUUUCCAAAGCAGCCCAAACUUUCAUCAGCUGCUGAAAUACUGGACUUGAUUCUCCAACUUGUAGUUUGCUUCCACUGUUUCCCUGAGGACAUUGUGUCAGACUGAACCCAUAAUUUGUCUCCUACUUCUGGCAAGCCUUCUGCUCCCUCCUCCACAUCACAGUAAGUUUGUCUUCUGGCUGUCAUCCCCAGAUCAAAGGUCAAUCAGAAAGAGCCAAUCAACAAGUAGAGAAGUUUCUGUGAAGUUACUGCCUCUAACCCUUUCACAUGGAAGAAAUAUCAGCUCUAGACUGAACUGUCCUACAAUCUACCCACGUCCUCUGCCACAGGUAUGUCACCCUUUGAAGUGAUUCAUGAAGUGUUUUUGUUGUUCCCUGCAAGGGAUACAAUGUUGGUGGUCCUGUCCACCAGAGCCCUGGUUUGCCAUUGCCAGAAUACUUAGAAGAGGGCACAGAGCACCAUCCUUAUUGCUAAUUGUGCCUAGUGCUGCUAGGAUAAAUGCUGUCAGUGCCCACCCAGACUAAUCCAGCCUGAGGACCGUGCCUGGUUGUGCACCAACUCCCGCAAGCUCUCCUCUGGUUCACUGGUCCCUUUACGAUUACCCAUCUCAUCAACCCAGUCAUUUACUGUCUCCAGCUGCCACUGUCUCUCGGGAUCACACCUAUCUUCCACAUAUCCUGCCUCAAGCCCACUGUCAUGGUCCACUUAACCCACCUGAGCCUGCAUCUCAGGAACCAAGGAUGGUGGAAGGACCCCAGUGAAUAUGGUUCUCCAGUUGAUUAAUUCAUGUUAUUGUGGAUGGGAUGUGCAAUGCCUGGUAAACUAGGAUGAGUACAGCCCAGAGGAAAGGUCAUGGGUGCAGUCCAGUUUCAUUUCAGAGGAAUUUCAUCAGGCCACAUCUGUACCAUCAGAUGCCAGCUGCAGGAGGGUGUCCUAUCCACCUGGUUAAGAGGAGUCAUCUGCUAGUUGUUUCCAACUCAUUAUCUGCAGACUAUUUAAACCCAACUCUCAGCUACAGUCUUUGUCCACCCAUCGAACCAGACAGCCUCAACAAAUUGCUCUUAACCUUCAGUUACCUUGUUGCGUUAUGUAUCUAUUCUCUCUUGUUCAGUGUCCCCUUGUGGCUU
Long non-coding RNA from Hypanus sabinus (Atlantic stingray), 2056 nucleotides. RefSeq lists it as uncharacterized. The transcript has 3 exons. Lineage: Eukaryota; Metazoa; Chordata; Chondrichthyes; Myliobatiformes; Dasyatidae. The record is from RefSeq and is a predicted model, not a curated record.